Molecule: ribosomal RNA, 371 nt
Filed under: uncultured bacterium
Lineage: Bacteria
Description: bacterial SSU rRNA
Rfam family: Bacterial small subunit ribosomal RNA
Source: RNAcentral
ACGUAGGCAGCGAGCGUUGUUCGGAAUUACUGGGCGUAAAGAGUGUGUAGGCGGUGCUCUAAGUUCGGUGUGAAAUCUCCUGGCUUAACUGGGAGGGUGCGCCGGAAACUGGAGUGCUCGAACGUGGGAGAGGAAAGCGGAAUUCCUGGUGUAGCGGUGAAAUGCGUAGAUAUCAGGAGGAACACCUGUGGUGUAGACGGCUUUCUGGACCAUUGUUGACGCUGAGACACGAAAGCGUGGGUAGCAAACAGGAUUAGAUACCCUGGUAGUCCACGCCCUAAACGAUGCAUACUUGGUGUCGGCCAUUCAGUUGGUCGGUGCCGGAGCUAACGCGUUAAGUAUGCCGCCUGGGGAGUACGGUCGCAAGGCUG